Molecule: long non-coding RNA, 259 nt
Filed under: Carica papaya (papaya)
Lineage: Eukaryota; Viridiplantae; Streptophyta; Magnoliopsida; Brassicales; Caricaceae
Description: long non-coding RNA (CPAP_LNC002312)
Source: RNAcentral
GUAUCCUACCUUAUUUGCAUCACUUAGGACUUAAUGGGGCCUAGGGCUUAGUGCUUAAUGGGGCCUAGGACUUAUAGCUUAUUAGGGCUUACGGUUUAGGGCUUCCGAAUUAGAGUUUGGGGUUUAUUAAGGCUUAGGGCGUAGCACAUAGGGCUUAUUAGGGUUUAGAGCUUAAGAAAAAAGAAAAAAGAGGUGUUAUAAUAUUUUUUUUUUCUCUUCAUCCAAUCUUCUCAUGUAAUCAUCCAGUUAUUUUGCUCUA